UCGCAGCCCGACUUGAGUGGAAAUCCUUUUUUUGCAUAAACUGAAACUUCGAUUAAAGAUAGAACGUCUUGCAAAAAAAGAUUGGGAACGGAAGAAGGAUUAAGC
RNAcentral lists this small RNA (105 nucleotides) under Chryseobacterium indoltheticum. Its description in RNAcentral is "Flavo-1 RNA". Lineage: Bacteria; Pseudomonadati; Bacteroidota; Flavobacteriia; Flavobacteriales; Weeksellaceae. The record is from RNAcentral.